AAGCCGUCUUAUAUACUGAAGGAGCUGGAAGUGCCCCUUAUGGAUCUCCAGACAUGCAGUGACUACUAUCAGAAAGCAAACCUGCGUGGAAUCAAGCCCAUCAUCAGUGAAGCCAUGAUCUGCUCCAAGCUCCCAGUGGGGCAGACGGAUCAGUGUAUAGGCAGUAGAGGUGAUCCCCUGACGUGUAGAGUGGAGGAUUUCUGGGUCCUGGCAGGAGUGGUCAGCUGGGAGUCAAACUGCAUCCAAAACAAUGAUCCUGGAAUAUAUACAAACAUCAGUUUCUAUAAAUCUUGGAUUGAGAAGUCAGUCAUUUCACAUACUGACUUUUCUGCUGUCAUCAGUCUGUACUUCUCUGGGCUCCUCCCUGUAAUGCUUCUACCUCUCAUUUUCCUGGGGCUACCUUAAGUGGCUGAGGCUCCAUGCCCAGUGUGAAGCCCAAUGACCGAGCAAGACCUGAGGGGAGAUCACGUCGAAUUCCUAACCGACUGAGCCACCUAGGUGCUCCUAGAAGUUGAUAGUUUUGAUUAGAGAUUUUGAGGAGUCACCAAGACAGAUGCAGUUCUGCUAUUUCUGCUAGUCACCAUAAGCCUAACGUGUCUGUUGCCUUUUAUCCCCAAGUCAACCUGGAAAACAAGAUCCCCAGUGUUAAUAAAGUUUGGUU
Molecule: long non-coding RNA, 661 nt
Organism: Mustela lutreola (European mink)
Lineage: Eukaryota; Metazoa; Chordata; Mammalia; Carnivora; Mustelidae
Exons: 3
Source: RefSeq, a predicted model, not a curated record